UACGUAGGCAGCAAGCGUUGUUCGGAGUUACUGGGCGUAAAGGGUGUGUAGGCGGUUCUUUAAGUUUGCUGUGAAAUCUCCCGGCUUAACCGGGAGGGUGCGGUGAAUACUGAGGGACUAGAGUACGGGAGAGGAAAGUGGGAUUCCUGGUGUAGCGGUGAAAUGCGUAGAUAUCAGGAGGAACACCGGUGGUGUAGACGGCUUUCUGGACCGACACUGACGCUGAGACACGAAAGCGUGGGUAGCAAACAGG
RNAcentral lists this ribosomal RNA (253 nucleotides) under uncultured bacterium. RNAcentral describes it as "partial 16S ribosomal RNA". It matches the Rfam family "Bacterial small subunit ribosomal RNA", at positions 524 to 776 of the family's 1533-position model. The record is from RNAcentral.